GGGGAAUUUUCCGCAAUGGGCGAAAGCCUGACGGAGCAAGACCGCGUGGGGGAAGAAGGCUCUUGGGUUGUCAACCCCUUUUCUCAGGGAAGAAGUUCUGACGGUACCUGAGGAAUAAGCAUCGGCUAACUCCGUGCCAGCAGCCGCGGUAAGACGGAGGAUGCAAGCGUUAUCCGGAAUUAUUGGGCGUAAAGCGUCCGUAGGUGGCUUUUCAAGUCGGCGGUCAAAGACCGGGGCUUAACUCCGGAAAGGCCGUGGAAACUGAAAGGCUAGAGAAAGGUAGGAGUAGGGGGAAUUCCCGGUGUAGCGGUGAAAUGCGUAGAGAUCGGGAAGAACACCGGUGGCGAAAGCGCCCUACUGGACCUUAUCUGACACUGAGGGACGAAAGCUAGGGGAGCGAAAGGGAUUAGAUACCCCAGUAGUC
RNAcentral lists this ribosomal RNA (424 nucleotides) under uncultured cyanobacterium. Its description in RNAcentral is "bacterial SSU rRNA". It matches the Rfam family "Bacterial small subunit ribosomal RNA", at positions 356 to 795 of the family's 1533-position model. The record is from RNAcentral. Lineage: Bacteria; Bacillati; Cyanobacteriota.